UACGAAGCCAGUAUGGACAAGGUUACCUGC
Molecule: non-coding RNA, 30 nt
Filed under: Mus musculus (house mouse)
Lineage: Eukaryota; Metazoa; Chordata; Mammalia; Rodentia; Muridae
Source: RNAcentral